Molecule: long non-coding RNA, 1082 nt
Filed under: Piliocolobus tephrosceles (Ugandan red Colobus)
Lineage: Eukaryota; Metazoa; Chordata; Mammalia; Primates; Cercopithecidae
Description: lncRNA (ENSPTEG00000015050.1)
Source: RNAcentral
AAGAAUGUUAUCCACUAUUUUAUUUUGUUUUGCUUCUUAAACAAGUGUAUAUAUAUAUAUAUAUAUAUAUAUACAUAUAUACACACCACAACAUACUCACAUAUAACCAUUUUGCUUCACUUUUUUUUUUUUUUUUUUUUUAAGUUAGUGCCAAUUUAGAACAAAAUUUUCUGACAUUUAAAGAAGGAAAAGAGUUAGUCGUAUGUAUGUUAAAGGUAGGCAGAGGGAUAGAAAUGUUAAAUAAUAUGACUAAUAAAAAAAAAUUAUUAAAAUGGGUAAUUAUGAAUUUAAAAAAUUGGAGUAAAUUAAAAAGUAUAGAAACUAAAAAUUUUUGCUUUAGCUUAUGGUUUAUUAACAAUAAGAUAAAAUUAAAAUUAAAGAAAUUACUGAAAAGCUUUUAUUAUAAUUUAAAUAAUAUGAAAAGUGUAAAAAAAGAAAUAAAAGCUUAUAAAAUUUUUGAAAAUUUACACAUAUUAUCAAAAUUAGAAAAUAUAUUAAAAUUACAUGUAACAAAAUUACUACGAAUAUUUUUUACAAAUAUUUGUGUUUAUGAUGGUUUAGAUUUUGAAAAAAAAAAUAAACGAGCAAAAGAAAAAAUAAAUAACAAUGACAAAAUGAAUAGCAAUGACAAAAUGAAUAACAAUGACAAAAUGAAUAGCAAUGACAAAAUGAAUAACAAUGACAAAAUGAAUAGCAAUGAAGAAAUAUACAUCGAAGAAAAGAAUAACUACACAACUGUCAAAAGUUACGAAUAUUACAAAUAUACAUAUAACCAUUUAAACAAAAAACUCUUUUUUAAAAAAUUAAAAGAACAAAGUUUAAAUUUAUUAGACACCAUAUCUAGUAAUUCUGAAAUAGAUACAAAUGAAAAAGACACAAAAGAUAAUUCAGGAACUAACACGUAUAAUAUAGUAGCAUUAAAAUCACAUUACUACUACAACUUACCAUCAGUUAGAAAUCGCUAAUUAAUAUAUAUUAUAUAUGUAUAUGUAUAUGUAUAUGUAUACACGUGUGUAUAUGUAUUAGUUGAUAACUUAAAUGAUUUGUUAAAAUAUAUAAAAUAUUUAAACCUUCGUUUAAUG